This 563-nucleotide ribosomal RNA is filed under the name Alternaria sp. xz8. RNAcentral's name for it is "eukaryotic LSU rRNA". The stretch from base 198 to 351 matches the Rfam family "5.8S ribosomal RNA". Lineage: Eukaryota; Fungi; Ascomycota; Dothideomycetes; Pleosporales; Pleosporaceae. The record is from RNAcentral.
CUCCGUAGGGUGAACCUGCGGAGGGAUCAUUACACAAAUAUGAAGGCGGGCUGGAACCUCUCGGGGUUACAGCCUUGCUGAAUUAUUCACCCUUGUCUUUUGCGUACUUCUUGUUUCCUUGGUGGGUUCGCCCACCACUAGGACAAACAUAAACCUUUUGUAAUUGCAAUCAGCGUCAGUAACAAAUUAAUAAUUACAACUUUCAACAACGGAUCUCUUGGUUCUGGCAUCGAUGAAGAACGCAGCGAAAUGCGAUAAGUAGUGUGAAUUGCAGAAUUCAGUGAAUCAUCGAAUCUUUGAACGCACAUUGCGCCCUUUGGUAUUCCAAAGGGCAUGCCUGUUCGAGCGUCAUUUGUACCCUCAAGCUUUGCUUGGUGUUGGGCGUCUUGUCUCUAGCUUUGCUGGAGACUCGCCUUAAAGUAAUUGGCAGCCGGCCUACUGGUUUCGGAGCGCAGCACAAGUCGCACUCUCUAUCAGCAAAGGUCUAGCAUCCAUUAAGCCUUUUUUUCAACUUUUGACCUCGGAUCAGGUAGGGAUACCCGCUGAACUUAAGCAUAUCAUAA